UACAGAGGUCUCAAGCGUUGUUCGGAUUCAUUGGGCGUAAAGGGUGCGUAGGUGGCGCGCUAAGUCGGGUGUGAAAUCUCGGAGCUUAACUCCGAAAUUGCAUUCGAUACUGGCGUGCUUGAGGACUGGAGAGGAGACUGGAAUUCCCGGUGUAGCGGUGAAAUGUGUAGAGAUCGGGAGGAACACCGGUGGCGAAGGCGGGUCUCUGGGCAAUUCCUGACGCUGAGGCGCGAAAGCGUGGGGAGCAAACGGG
Molecule: ribosomal RNA, 253 nt
Filed under: uncultured bacterium
Lineage: Bacteria
Description: partial 16S ribosomal RNA
Rfam family: Bacterial small subunit ribosomal RNA
Source: RNAcentral